CAGGUGGCGCGAGUGUCUUCGUGAGGACGAAAUAUUUGUCAUUUGUUUCCGAGACGCUGACCAAAAGUGUAUUCCAAAUUCAUAACGCAAUUUUGGCAUAUAGUUUCACUUGGCCAAAUAAUGUAACGACGUGGGUCGAAACUGUUGUCCAUUUUGUCGAAAUGUCGGUCAUUGUUAGCUGUACGUCUCAUCUCGUGCAGAAACACUUCAGAGCUAGUAAAAUCAGAGAUGGAGAUCACUUUGCUCAACUGUUGUAGAAGUUGAGAACAUGACAAAGUCUGAGCUUCAUGGCAGUCAUAUCAUUAAUUUUGUUUUUGUUGCAGCCAGCUGGGGAAAGGUGUGGUCGAGUCCUGUUGAGCUGCAGGUGCUGCAUGCAGUUUAUCAAGCUGGUGUUAUCCCAUCCCUAGUGUUACUGCAGGAAAACUUCUUGAAUUGGAGUUCAUGGUCGGUUUGAGCUGUUUACGGUGUUGCUGUUUGGACUACAGUGGUUUUGCAGUCCCUUCCAGUUGAGAGAUGCUCUGAAAUGGAUUCUUGUUCACACUUGCAGUUCAACAUCACACUUAAAUUUGUCAUUUGCCUAUAUUUGUGUCCGUGCAGUAUAUGCCGUGUUGAAAAGUUGGGUUAGUCAAUGUUGCCUGAUGGCUGUCGGUCUUGUUUUAUCGGCUGCAUUUUGUCGAUAUGUCGUCUCUUGUUACCUGUACAGGUGUUGAGGUAAUGCUUGGUGUUUCGUUCAGUUACAGGUGCAUAUCUGGGCUCCCUUCUUCAGUGGCCCCGUUUCCCUAAAUAACCACUAACCAACGCCCGCCGGUGGUCACUCACUCGCUGCGACAACCAGGAGGAAGGGAGAUGUUUGGUCGAACGGGGACUUGCAAGGCGCAUGAUUCGAUGAAAUCUGUUGAAGGGUCAUGAGUCUAAGCCGGAAGCCUACCAUGAUGCAUUGCUCUCAUAAUAACUGCUCUUCAGCUCUCUUCGCUCUUUUUCCGGGUUCUCUUAACCACGGCCGGGUAAUCUCCCUGGUAGAGUCAGUCGGGCAGUGUCUCCCCCUGCUUGACUGGCUGCAGUUUUUACCGGACGGUUUGUUUAAUAAAUAAAACAAGUAUAAAAAACCAUAUAAUGUUUUCAUUUUAUAAAUUGUUAUUCAUUAAUUAAAUAUGUAUAGAUAACAACUUGAUUAACAAGCAUAUUUAUACAACAUUGUUUAUGAAACAGACCGUCCGGCACAAACUCUUAGUUAGUACUAUUGCUCAAAAACUGAUUCUCUUGAAUCAGCAGACUCGAGAGUUUAUAGUGCCGUCAAGAAGCUGUGUUGUGUUUGUUGAUCGUCUCCACCAUGCACGCGAUAAUCAAGACCAGCAACGUCUUGAUCAAGAAGAAGAAAAGAACGGAGAAGCAAAGAACGACGAUGUAAAUAGCGGGAACAGUUUUCCAUACUGGUACGCUGUAUGACGUCGAGCAUUGCCAAAAUGGAAGUGCUCUUUGAAGAACUGAGCGUCUAAAUCUUCUUCAGUCAGAUGAAGCUAACGGAUUCGGAAAUCGUCGAAGAAGCAGAGGACAUCACAGCUGGAAAAAAAAAACGCGAGUCAAACUGACAAACUCCUGUGGUUAAGUUCUGCAGCUACUCUCAAAAUAUUUUGUCUUGUUUGCUCGUGUUGAUUGUAGACUACUUUUAAAUUAUCUACCAGUGAAGCCCUAAUAAGAGGUCCAAGAGAAAUUUAUUCGGGUCAACUGAUACCAUACCACGUACUAAAUCGUUAAUGGUUUUCAGGUAAAAAAUAACCAUGAGAAUAUGGGGUCGCAGAAAUAGAUGUCAACUGGUGGAAAAUAAGAAGGGGUACGGAUGCGGUAUUUUUCUUUUCUUUUUUAAAAAAUACUGUCCGAUUUUUAAAGAUUUCGUGAGGAACAUCCAAUCUGUCGAUCGCGGUCGCUAACCAAUUGGUAGAAAAACAGCACCAAUAAUGGUCGAACUCGGAUGUGCUUUUUCGAGAUUUUAACACAAAUUGCAUUUUAUACAUAAAAAAAUUUAUCAUAAAGCUACAAUGUUACAGCAUUACCCGUACUAUGGCUCGUCCCGGUUUGUAUUGCUUUGUAUAAUCUUUAGUUGAACGCUAAAUAUAUUAGAGGCUAGCUAAGAGAAUUUGGCUAGAUCUUUACAGGAUUAGUGAAUGUGAUUUUUAAAAGAAAUUGUGCCUGUUGUACAUCGAUAUUAUUGGCCUUGAUUCUUAAAGGUGGCUUGGCAAAACUUUCGACGGUUAAACUCUAUUUAAUAAAUAGAUAACAUAACAUUUAGCUAAUGACCUUGUAUUCUUGACUAAAUAUUUUCAGGCAACUUUUGAAAUUUUUGUGGGCACUGAUUUGCAGAGUGCUCGUGACCAACAGAUAAAAUGGCCCAAUCCAUAUUGCAAAUUUGCAAGCUGUCUUCCAAAACCAUCCAAAACCAAGGAAUUUCUAUUUGCAAGUCUAAUUAGGUAGAAAACCUUUCUGAAAAGUUUAGGAGCCAUUGUUAAUUUCAAUUG
Molecule: long non-coding RNA, 2513 nt
Filed under: Daphnia pulex (common water flea)
Lineage: Eukaryota; Metazoa; Arthropoda; Branchiopoda; Diplostraca; Daphniidae
Description: uncharacterized LOC124200252, transcript variant X1
Source: RNAcentral